CGCCCUACGGGAGGCAGCAGUGGGGAAUAUUGCACAAUGGGGGAAACCCUGAUGCAGCAACGCCGCGUGAAGGAAGAAGGUUUUCGGAUUGUAAACUUCUGUUCUUAGUGAAGAAGAAUGACGGUAGCUAAGGAGCAAGCCACGGCUAACUACGUGCCAGCAGCCGCGGUAAUACGUAGGUGGCAAGCGUUGUCCGGAAUUACUGGGUGUAAAGGGAGCGCAGGCGGGAAGCCAAGUCAGCUGUGAAAACUACGGGCUUAACUUGUUGACUGCAGUUGAAACUGGUUUUCUUGAGUGAAGUAGAG
RNAcentral lists this ribosomal RNA (305 nucleotides) under uncultured bacterium. RNAcentral's name for it is "bacterial SSU rRNA". It matches the Rfam family "Bacterial small subunit ribosomal RNA", at positions 335 to 656 of the family's 1533-position model. The record is from RNAcentral.